GGUGACGUAGCGUAAUGGAUAACGCAUCAGACUUCGAAUCUGAAGGUUGUGGGUUCGAGUCCCAUCGUCAUCG
This is a transfer RNA of Mucor circinelloides, 73 nucleotides long. It matches the Rfam family "tRNA". From Rfam's summary of the family: Transfer RNA (tRNA) molecules are approximately 80 nucleotides in length. Their secondary structure includes four short double-helical elements and three loops (D, anti-codon, and T loops). Further hydrogen bonds mediate the characteristic L-shaped molecular structure. tRNAs have two regions of fundamental functional importance: the anti-codon, which is responsible for specific mRNA codon recognition, and the 3' end, to which the tRNAs corresponding amino acid is attached (by aminoacyl-tRNA synthetases). tRNAs cope with the degeneracy of the genetic code in two manners: having more than one tRNA (with a specific anti-codon) for a particular amino acid; and 'wobble' base-pairing, i.e. permitting non-standard base-pairing at the 3rd anti-codon position. The record is from Rfam. NCBI's taxonomy places the organism in Eukaryota, Fungi, Mucoromycota, Mucoromycetes, Mucorales, Mucoraceae.